Molecule: transfer RNA, 73 nt
Filed under: Candidatus Coatesiibacteriota bacterium
Lineage: Bacteria; Candidatus Coatesiibacteriota
Description: Candidatus Coatesbacteria bacterium tRNA-Arg
Rfam family: tRNA
About the family: Transfer RNA (tRNA) molecules are approximately 80 nucleotides in length. Their secondary structure includes four short double-helical elements and three loops (D, anti-codon, and T loops).
Source: RNAcentral
GCACCCGUAGCUUAAAGGAUAGAGCGUCGGAUUCCGGUUCCGAAGUAUGCAGGUUCAAUUCCUGCCGGGUGCA